RNAcentral lists this transfer RNA (72 nucleotides) under Ictidomys tridecemlineatus (thirteen-lined ground squirrel). Its description in RNAcentral is "Spermophilus tridecemlineatus (thirteen-lined ground squirrel) tRNA". It matches the Rfam family "tRNA". Rfam says of the family: Transfer RNA (tRNA) molecules are approximately 80 nucleotides in length. Their secondary structure includes four short double-helical elements and three loops (D, anti-codon, and T loops). Further hydrogen bonds mediate the characteristic L-shaped molecular structure. tRNAs have two regions of fundamental functional importance: the anti-codon, which is responsible for specific mRNA codon recognition, and the 3' end, to which the tRNAs corresponding amino acid is attached (by aminoacyl-tRNA synthetases). tRNAs cope with the degeneracy of the genetic code in two manners: having more than one tRNA (with a specific anti-codon) for a particular amino acid; and 'wobble' base-pairing, i.e. permitting non-standard base-pairing at the 3rd anti-codon position. Lineage: Eukaryota; Metazoa; Chordata; Mammalia; Rodentia; Sciuridae. The record is from Rfam by way of RNAcentral.
AGGGUUGUGGCUCAGUGGUAGAGUGCUCGCCUAGCAUGUGAGAGGCCCUGGGUUCGAUCCUCAGCACCACAU